RNAcentral lists this long non-coding RNA (8055 nucleotides) under Ananas comosus (pineapple). RNAcentral describes it as "long non-coding RNA (ACOM_LNC010000)". Lineage: Eukaryota; Viridiplantae; Streptophyta; Magnoliopsida; Poales; Bromeliaceae. The record is from RNAcentral.
CCUGAACGGAAUAGUGCAUCUUCUUCUCCAACCUUCUUCUUCUCUCUUCUCUACUCACUCUACUCCGAGCCCUCUUCUUCCCUCAGUCUUUCCCCUUUAUUUUUCUUCCCGAAUUCCCUGAAUUGCAAUCUCGAUUAGCCAUCAUCCCUUCCGCCUUCCUCUCCUCAGAGCAUUGUCUUCAUAGGGGGUUGCGGCGAGUCCGGGUCAUAACAAUAUGGUAUCAGAGCCGUUCGAUCCCCGAACACUGUAGGCAGAAAUUCCACGUUGGAUCCAGAUCGAAGGAUCUGUAGAGCCAACCCAGGAAAAUUUGGUCUGCAAUCGGGAUUCCAUCCCAGGGUGGAAUCUAGAUUACAAAGAUUGACCGCCACGGAAAUUCAAGGGAAUUGAGUAUUAAGGAGCCAGGAGGAACAUCAUUGGGAAGGAAUCGGAGCAGAUCAAGGCAAUUCUGCAUUCCCUCUCAGAGAGCCAACAUUGGGUCCAGUCGUGAAAAUCGUUUCAAAUUUGUUAGCAAAACCAAUCAGAUCAUGGCCGAUGGCACGAGACUCAAGGUGCUCGAUGAACACGUUCAUUCCUUGGAGCAGCAGUUGCAGGAGCUGACCAAUGGGACUAGCAAGAAGUUCGAGGAGUUGAGCCAUAAAGUUGAUAUGAUACAAGCUGAAGAAUACUCCCACUUCGAAGCGCUACGCCGAGAUUCAGCCAACACAGUGAAGAAGAUAGAGCAACUCAUGGAGCUCAUGGUCAACUAGCAACAUGCCUCUUUUUCUAAGGGCGCGAUGGGAACUAUAACACAAAAAGAGCGAGGUAUUUUACCCACACCCCCUGUUCCGUUAUCAAAAGAAGAUGCAAAUUCAUAUCAAGUGCACAGUAGGAACAACAAUGCAUUGCCCCUACCACGGUUAGAAUUUUCAAUGUUUAAUAGGGAAAACCCUAGGAGUUAGGUUAGGCGAUGCGAAAAAUGUUAUGAGAAUUAUGGAGUUAAAGAGCAUAAAAAACUAGAGUUAGCAACUAUGCACAUGGAUCCCAGAGUGGACAUUUGGUUUCAUGGCUACCUGGCGGAGAAAGGAGUAGUGAAUUGGGAGAUGUUUGCACAGGACAUAUGCAAAAGAUUUGAUUCCAGUGGGGAUGUCGUUGAAGAAUUUAAUAAGCUCACGCAGCAUGGAACAGUAGAAGAGUAUCAGGAACAAAUCGAAGAUCUGAGGUCGCAGCUACUAGAUACCAACUCACACUUCGCGCAGGAGUAUUUCUUGUCCAGUUUCUUAAGUGGGUUAAAGGAGGAGAUUAGGACUGCUGUUAAAAUGAUGCACCCAAGCUCUCUCACCCAAGCCUUCGAGCUUGCAAGGUUGCAGGAGCAAAACAUAGCCACGGUAAUGAAAAAGAGUAGAGUGUGGUUUAAAAGUCAAGGUAGUACCCUACUUGGUAGUGGCUACAAGGGCAACAGUUUGGCAGCGCCGGCAAGGUUACCUGACAACACCAGGAACUAUGCCAACAAGAUAGCCACUGAGAGGUUCCAGCCAAGUAGACAACUGAUCGAGCAGAGAAGAGCCGCGGGGUUGUGCUUGAAAUCUGGCGAAAAAUACUCAUUCGGGCACUAGUGUAAGCAACAGACAGUGCACUCUAUGAAUGCUAUGAGCGAAGUUGCGGAGAUUUAUGACGAGGAAAGUCUAAUGGAGGAAGGGGAGGCAGAAAAGCAAGAUGACAUAGAAGGAGAAGAAAUUGGGCUGUCGGUGCACGCCUUGAGUGCUGAGAACCCACAGGAGACCAUCAAAAUUCCAGGGGAAGCAAAAGGGAAAGCCCUAGUUAUCCUUGUGGGUACGGGUAGUACCCACAGCUUCAUAGACAUAAACACUGCCAAGGAGAUUAAGGCGACUGUUGCCUCGACCUCACCCUUAUCUGUAACAGUGGCAAACGGACAAAAUGUGCUCAGCAAAUUAAAAUGUCCGGGAUUCUUCUGGAGAAUGCAAGGGGAGGGGUAUACCUUGGACCUGCGUGUGAUAAGAUUAGAAGGAUCUAGCAUGAUACUGGGAAUCGACUGGUUAAGAGUUCAUGGGCCGGUUAUAUUCGACUACGAACAUCACACAGUUACCAUCACGGAAGAGGGGAAGAAAGUGGAGUUAAGAGGGAUGGCUGAGAAGGCAACAAUCAAGAGCCUCACUGCCAGACAGUGGAGGCAAGAGUACUUUGAAGGUAGUUGCUGCGCUCUCGCUCAGUUGUUAAGGGUAGAAGAAGCCGAACAGAUGAACAUUCCCCCGCAAAUACAAGCAGUCCUACAGGAGUUCGAGGAUGUAUUCAAGGAGCCGCAGGGACUUCCGCCAGCUAGGCCCCAAGACCAUCGAAUUCCUUUGUAAGCAGGAGCGCAACUGGUUAAUGUUCGAUCAUAUAGAUAUACUUAUGAACAGAAGAACGAAAUGAAGAGACUAAUUCGAGAGAUGCUCGUCACCUCGGUGAUCCAGCCGAGUAAUAGUCCCUAUGUGUCUCCGGUUUUGCUAGUUAAGAAAAAAGAUGGAAGCUAACAAUUUUGUGUAGACUACCGGCAGCUUAACAAGAUUACCGUCAAGGAUAAAUACCCGAUACCGAUCAUUGAGGAGCUACUAGAUGAAUUGGGGGGAUCCAAGUAUUUUUUAAAGAUAGACCUCCGAUUAGGCUACCACCAGAUCCGGAUGAACCCAGAGGAUAUUCCGAAGACGACCUUCAAAACCCAUGUGGGCCAUUACGAAUUCUGAGUCAUGCCGUUCGGGCUCACAAACGCGCCGACGACAUUUCAAGCAACAAUGAACGAGGUAUUCGCACCUUUACUUCGAAAAUUUGUUCUCAUUUUUUUUGAUGACAUAUUGAUCUAUAGUUGCACGAUCGAAGACCAUAUGAAGCACUUGGACGAGGUGCUUGGUAUCUUAAGAAAAAAAUCAGUUUUUUGCCAAAAGGUCGAAGUGUUUCUUUGGACGAGCAAAUCGAGUAUCUAGGGCAUAUUAUCACCUGCCAAGGGAUCGCCACCGACCCGAGCAAGAUAGAGGCCAUGUUACAAUGGCCGGCGCCGGAUUUAGUUAAGGGGUUAAGGGGAUUUUUGGGGCUGACAGGAUACUAUCGGAGAUUUAUUAAAGGGUAUGGAACUAUUUGCAAACCUUUGACGGAACUAUUGAAGAAGACAGGAUUUAAGUGGAAUCCGGUAGCACAAGAGGCCUUUGAGAGGUUAAAAAAAUUGAUGACGGAAGCCCCUGCACUUUGCUAGAUUACACAAAAACCUUUGUAGUAAAGGUUAGGGAUGCAAACGGGGCGGAUCUGGGGGCGGGAGCCCCGCCCCGCCUCCCGCCCCGAAUCCGUGACGGGUUGAAAAUAGUUAUCCCAUAAUCCGCUCCGCCUCAUAACCCGCCUCACGCCGGCGCCCCGAAUCCGCCCUGCCAAAAUACGCGUGUUGAAGCCGUUGAGGGUAUGGUACUUGUAGACGGAGGCAAAAAAGGAGAUGGAGGCGAGGAAAAGCGCGGUAGCCGGCAGCGGCGAGGGAAAGGGCGGCGGCCGGCGCAGGCGAGGGAAAGGGGGCGGCGGAGGCGAGGGGAGAAAAUGGGUGGUGACUGGUAGAGGGGAGAAAAAUGGGCGGCGACCGGUCGUGUUGGGGGAGAAGGAGUUGGGGUGGUCCUGGUGGAGGGGUUCUAGGGUUGUGAGACUUUUUAUUAGGGUUUUGCAAAAUAAAAGCUAAGCUGCUAAAGAUAGUUGGGUUUUUUGUAAAUAUAUUAUUUUUCAUGGGUAUUUAAAAAAAUAUAUAAAUGAUUUUUGGGGCGGAUGAUGGCCGGAUAAAAAAUUUUCCCGUUUCCUGCCCCGAAUCCGCCUCGGAUCAUAAAAAUUGCCCUGUUUCCUGCCCCGAAUCAGUUUAUUUCCUCCCGUUUACUGCCUCAUUCGCGGCGGAUCGGGGCGGGAGCUCCACCAACCCGGAUCCAUUUGCAUCCCUAGUAGAGGUUGAUGCAUGUGAUCAAGGGAUAGGAGCAGUAUUGACACAAGAAGGCCGACCCAUAGCCUCCCUAAGUCAGGCUAUAAGCAGGAAGAAUUUAGGAUUGUCCACUUAUGAAAAAGAGUUUCUGGCAAUAUUGAUGGCGGUAUCCAAGUUGAGACAUUUCUUGAGUCCGAAAAGGUUCAUCAUCAAGACGGAUCACGAGAGCUUGAAGCAUUUGCUGGAACAGAGAAUAACCACAGCCAUUUAACAAAAGGGGAUGUUGAAAUUGCUGGGGUUAGAUUAUAAGAUACAGUACAAGAAGGAAAAGGAGAACAAGGCUUCGGAUGCUCUCUCCCGCAGGGGGCAUGAAGAAAGGAGUAGUCGAGCCAUCUCAGUGGCUGUUCCCGAGUGGAUCACGGACGUACUAACUAGUUACCAAGGAGAUGAGGAAUGCCAGAAGCUCAUAGCUCAGCUAACCCUACAGCCAACAAGGUCAUCAGCUUAUGCCUAUGAUCAGGGACUACUACGCUACAAGGGAAAAUUGUACAUUGGGAAGGAAGGGGAUCUUCGGCGGAAGCUACUUGAUCAGAUGCACAAUUCGGCCUUAAGAGGCCAUUCUGGACAGCAAGCUACUUACAAAAGAGUUAAGAAAGUCUUCUACUGGCCAGGGCUCAAGCGAGAGGUAGAAGAAAUGGUGAAAAAUUGCACGAUUUGCAUUCAGAAUAAGGCGGACAAUCACUCUUAUGCCGGCCUACUACAACCUUUACCAGUUCCCUAUAGCAUCUGGCAGGAAAUUGGUAUGGAUUUCAUAGAAGGGCUCCCUCGGUCCGAAGGAAAAAAUUCGAUAAUGGUGGUGAUAGAUCGGUUCUCCAAAUAUGGGCACUUUAUUUCCCUGACACAUCCCUACACAGUUGCAACAGUAGCCCGAGCCUUCUUCGACACCGUCUACAAGUUACAUGGACUACCUGAGAAAAUCAUCUCAGAUAGAGAUAGAAUCUUUACAAGUGAAUUGUGGAAGGAGUUAUUCAAGAUGCUGGGAACAAAGUUACUCAUGAGCUCGGCCUACCAUCCCCAAACGGACGGACAAACGGAGCGACUCAACAGAUGUGUGGAAAACUACUUGCGCUGUUUGUGCUUCCAGCACUCGCAAAAAUGGCAUCGGUGGCUAGCGCAUGCCAAAUGGUGGUAUAACACCAACUUCCACACAUCUCCGGGAACCACUCCGUACCAGGCCCUUUACGGCAGAACACCGCCAACUACCUUGUUGCUAACUUAGGGCUGAACUCUACAGAAGACCUACAGGAAUGGGGGCGUGCUUAGGGAGAACCUACUGAAGGCCCAAAACAGGAUGAAACAGUUCGUCGACCGCCGAAGGAUGGACAAGGAGUACAAAGUCGACGACUUUGUAUUCUUAAAACUUCAACCUUAUCGCCAAAAUACAGUGGCAGAGCGAUGGAAUCUAAAACGUUCCUCAAGAUACUUUGGGCCCUACGAGAUCUUGGAAAGGAUCGGCGCGGUGGCUUACAGAUUGCGACUCCCAGAAGGCUCCAAGGUGCACCCCGUUUUCCAUGUCUCCCUACUCAAAUGAAGCCCGCCCGAAGGACAGCCGUCCAUGACCGUAGCACCUCCCGUGCAUGAGGAGCAAACCCCUACGGCACCUGAGUCGAUUUUGGAUCGGUGCAUGGUACGGCGCGGUAACAAGGUCGUAGCUCAGGUUUUGGUGUCGUGGAGCAACCUUCCUGCAAAUCUGGCAACUUGGGAAGAUUAUUGGUCUCUCAAGGAGCAAUUUCCCGGCUUUGAUCCUUGAGGACAAGGAUCUCUUCAUAGGAGGAAGGGAUUGUAACAAUGGAGAGGUGAGGAGAGUAGCUACUAGAAGCAGGGGAGUCUAAGUCAAGGGCGAGCGACAGUAGAUUUGGGGGAGAAAGAUCGGAGUAAGGGAUAGAGGCAACAACGGGUCGGGUUGUUGGUGUUGCUACUCGCUUCGGCAAUAAGUGGACCACAGGUUGCUUUACACAAAGCCUUCCAAUGUGGCCCAACGAGUUGGCCCAUACGAGAAUGGCGGCCCAACCGACUUGUGUGGUAUUUAGUUUCUUUUACUGCCUUACGUAUAUGUAAUUGCACUUUAGUCCCCCAGAUAGUAGGCUAUAAAUAGUAGAGCGGGUAGAUUGUAAUGGACAUGAAUGGAAUAGUGCAUCUUCUUCUCCAACCUUCUUCUUCUCUCUUCUCUACUCACUCUACUCCGAGCCCUCUUCUUCCCUCAGUCUUUCCCCUUUAUUUUUCUUCCCGAAUUCCCUGAAUUGCAAUCUCGAUUAGCCAUCAUCCCUUCCGCCUUCCUCUCCUCAGAGCAUUGUCUUCAUAGGGUGUUGCGGCGAGUCUGGGUCAUAACAAGAUCACUUACAGACAUCGAACUCACAAACCCUUAGCUACCAGAAGAUCGGUUUCCUUUUACUGAUUCCUGUAAUUCGCCAGGAAUUUUCGAAAACUCAUCGGAAUGCUUUCGACCCGCGAAGUGUCUCGGAAUGUUUCGAUUCACACCGUCAAUCACCCGCUGACCCGAAAUGCCCUAAUUUGGGUGCCUGAGCAACAAACACAUGAUCUCGUGCCAAUAAUUUCUUUUAGUGAUAUUAACACAGUACCAGGUUCUCGAAAAUGCCAAUUUUGGCUUUGAAACCCACCGGCGCUCACCCGCUGUCUCCGAAUGUUCGUGACAGCGAGGGCAACCAGCUAACUUGCUUGGCGAUGAAGCACAGGGCAUUUACACAAAAAUCCGAACUGAAAACGUGUUCUUGCGGCAAUUUUGUCAAAAAACGCAACAAAAUCCCAAUUUAACCUUGCAAGGGCCACCGAGCCAUGGGCAAUCAACAAAUAGUGACCUCACAAUGACCGAGGCAGUCCAUAACACCUUAAUUGUUUCUAAGUCCCUAAUAAUAAAUCUGUUUGCAUUUUAUAUAUAUAAAAAUAGAGAUUUUGACAUUUUAUUGAAUAUUGUGAGGUUUCGAAACCAAUCGGCAGUGCUCGCUGAUAGGUCUUGAUGUGCCGAAGAUCGUGCUUGCUGUCCGAAGCAUGAACAAAGGUUGCGGAGUGUGUCGGGGCUACGUGAAUUGUGGCUUCAAAGGUCAUCGGGAGUGACAAUGCUGGAUCCGCCAAUCGGGGCUCCUUCAAUAGCAAAGAAGGUGAGCACGGUGUCCUCAGGCCCUUAGAAGGGCAUUGCUCGCACUCUGGAUGGUCACCGAUCACCCUGCUGGCCGGAUUAGUGAAGUCGGCCCCAAAAAGCCCUAGAUCGGGCUAGAUUGGAGAAAAGGGAGCAAGGCUCGGCUGCUAGUGGCCAAGGAGUGCGCGCACCGACCGGAGGGGAGUGCAGCCGAUGCGGGGUGAUCGACAGUGGCGGCGCUAUAAAAAUCACGACCAAAACAACGGAGCUCGGGCUAGGGUUAUAACACUCGUCAAUGGGGGAAGUUGAGGGUCGACGGGGCGGCACCGGACGGUGGUAUAGUUCCACCAGGGCCCUCCGUGACGGCGGGGCACGAUGGCGGCGGCAGCCGCAUAGCGCGGCCCAAACUUCAAGAAGUUGUGUUCAAGAUGGACUUGGCGGCCACGGCGGCACAGAGCGAUGGCGGCACUCGUCGGGGCAUGGUUGCCUGAGCCUUAAGACACUGGCAGUAUGAUCCCGAGGCGGCGCGGCCAAGGGGGAGGGGUUAUGGGCUUGUUUGGAAGUGAGGGACAGAGAAAGGUGGGGAGAGGGCUUGGGGGUGGCUUGUAUGGGGCUCCGGUAGCCAGAGAAGAUCGCUAGAGCUCAGAGAGGGAAGGGUACUGUGGCAGCUAGGGCUUGAGGGGAGAAAUGAUGGCAAUAGGGUUAGAGAAACCCUAGAGUCCAUAUAAUAGGUUCAUUUGCAAACCUCAAGACGCCUGUACCCGCGGUCUCACGCAAAUCCAUACAUGAAAUGUCAGGAUUUUUUCAAAAAUACGAAUUUUCACAUUUGGUGCCAUCUCAUAUUUCACGCAUUCUUGUGCAAAUGGCUCGCCGAAUUUGAAAACGAACUAAGCUAGGACUAAUGGCACCGCAGGACCAUUAAAUCUACGUUUUCGCUUUGUCAGGAACGGUCGCCGAUUCGCGAUAUACCCAUCUCUCUCUUCCG